This 169-nucleotide unclassified non-coding RNA is filed under the name soil metagenome. RNAcentral's name for it is "partial contains 5.8S ribosomal RNA, internal transcribed spacer 2, and large subunit ribosomal RNA". The record is from RNAcentral.
AAGACUAUAGACCUGCGGAGUACCUGCGGAAGGAUCAUUAGUGAACGCCCUCACGGGCUUAUAACUAUUCCAAACCUCUGUGAACCGUGCCCUUCGGGGCUAUUCUACAAACAUGGUGUAAUGAACGUCAUAUAUCAUAACAAAACAAAACUUUUAACAAUGGAUCUCU